This 498-nucleotide ribosomal RNA is filed under the name uncultured bacterium. Its description in RNAcentral is "bacterial SSU rRNA". It matches the Rfam family "Bacterial small subunit ribosomal RNA", at positions 501 to 1000 of the family's 1533-position model. The record is from RNAcentral.
CUACGUGCCAGCAGCCGCGGUAAUACGGGGGGUGCGAGCGUUAAUCGGAAUAACUGGGCGUAAAGGGCACGCAGGCGGUGACUUAAGUGAGAUGUGAAAGCCCCGGGCUUAACCUGGGAAUUGCAUUUCAUACUGGGUCGCUAGAGUACUUUAGGGAGGGGUAGAAUUCCACGUGUAGCGGUGAAAUGCGUAGAGAUGUGGAGGAAUACCGAAGGCGAAGGCAGCCCCUUGGGAAUGUACUGACGCUCAUGUGCGAAAGCGUGGGGAGCAAACAGGAUUAGAUACCCUGGUAGUCCACGCUGUAAACGAUGUCGAUUUGGGGGUUGAGCUUUAAGCUUGGCGCCCGUAGCUAACGUGAUAAAUCGACCGCCUGGGGAGUACGGCCGCAAGGUUAAAACUCAAAUGAAUUGACGGGGGCCCGCACAAGCGGUGGAGCAUGUGGUUUAAUUCGAUGCAACGCGAAGAACCUUACCUACUCUUGACAUCCAGAGAACAUUC